CCAGGUAGUUAGUUUAAACUAAAACAAAUGAUUUCGACUCAUUAGACUAUGACCUACUCAUAACUACUAAC
This 71-nucleotide transfer RNA is filed under the name Indri indri. Its description in RNAcentral is "tRNA-Arg". It matches the Rfam family "tRNA". From Rfam's summary of the family: Transfer RNA (tRNA) molecules are approximately 80 nucleotides in length. Their secondary structure includes four short double-helical elements and three loops (D, anti-codon, and T loops). The record is from RNAcentral. Lineage: Eukaryota; Metazoa; Chordata; Mammalia; Primates; Indriidae.